GAUGAACGCUGGCGGCGCGCCUAACACAUGCAAGUCGAACGAUUAAAGCACCUUCGGGUGUGUAUAAAGUGGCGAACGGCUGAGUAACACGUGGGCAACCUGCCCCUUUCAUUGGGAUAGCCACGGGAAACCGUGGAUAAUACCGAAUACUUCGAGACUUCCGCAUGGAAGACUCGAGAAAGCUCCGGCGGAGAGGGAUGGGCCCGCGGCCUGUUAGCUUGUUGGUGGGGUAACGGCCUACCAAGGCAAUGAUGCGUAGCUGGGUUGAGAGACCGACCAGCCAGAUUGGGACUGAGACACGGCCCAGACUCCUACGGGAGGCAGCAGUGGGGAAUCUUGCACAAUGGGCGAAAGCCUGAUGCAGCGACGCCGCGUGCGGGAUGAAGGCCUUCGGGUUGUAAACCGCUUUCAGCGGGGACGAGGCGAAAGUGACGGUACCUGCAGAAGAAGCCCCGGCUAACUACGUG
This 467-nucleotide ribosomal RNA is filed under the name uncultured bacterium. RNAcentral's name for it is "partial 16S ribosomal RNA". It matches the Rfam family "Bacterial small subunit ribosomal RNA", at positions 28 to 507 of the family's 1533-position model. The record is from RNAcentral.